This is a long non-coding RNA of Scylla paramamosain (green mud crab), 1839 nucleotides long. RefSeq lists it as uncharacterized. The transcript has 2 exons. NCBI's taxonomy places the organism in Eukaryota, Metazoa, Arthropoda, Malacostraca, Decapoda, Portunidae. The record is from RefSeq and is a predicted model, not a curated record.
UGAAAAUAGUCUGGUGAAAGAGCAAGGCCUUUCAGAAUACAAGCACAUAACCUUGCUUCAUGAAAAACAAGUGCAUUCAUGAUACCUAAGACUGCCUUGCUACAUUCCCCCAGUGACUAAUGUAUCUUUUUUUUUUCUUUAUCUCGUAGCAUUAGUCUGUCUGUCAUUGAUGAAAACACCCGCACUACAUGUAUUACGUUAUUUCAUUAGUCUCAAGUCGCUAUUUCAAGUCUAUAUAAGCCUCAAUAAAUACGAGAGCUGUGGUGGUGGUCUGCUUCCCGUCUGCCAAUCAGAGCGUUCUAUUUUUCCGUUUUCUUUCGUAUUCUUCGUAAAGCUCACGCAUCCUUCAUUUGUCGUUACUUCUUGCCUCACAGAGUAUUGGUAAGUGUCUUCUACUGGUAAUAAUAACCGUGAUUCUAUUAUUUUGUAUCAUUACAAGUAGUAUUGCGAGAGUGGCUCCGUUCUUAGUGACAAUUACCUCAGCACAGCCUUCACCAAUCAGCGCCAAGUAUUCAAGUCACGUGAUACUCUCUCCUCGCCGUCUCCUCAGCCAUUCGCCCUGCGCCCGCUGACGUGACGAGUCCCCGGUUGUGUUACGGCGGUGAAGCGGUGUUGCGUCUGUCCCUGGCGGGCAUGUUGUGGUGGACUGCGGUGUGGAGGGAGAGGUGGAUGUGAGUAUGGCCUGGUGGUGGAUAGGGAGGAGUGGAUAGUGGAAGAGAGAUGUGGAGAGUAGGAUGGUGGAAGGGGGAGGUGGAGGUGGCUAUGGCGGACGUGACUGGGUUGAGGUGGUGGUUGUGGUGGUGUUUGGUAUGGUUGGAAUGGUUGUAGAGGGUGUUGGUAGUGAUGGUGAACGUGACUGGCUUAUGUUAAAGGUGGUUGUGGUUGUUGGGGAUGGUGGUGGUUGUGUGACAGUGGUGGGUGCAGCGGACGCAACGAUGUUGUGGUUGUUGGGUGUGGUUGAGGAUUGCGAUGGUGGUGGUGGUGGAGGUGGUAGGUGGCGGUGGUCGUAGUCGGAGCGGGCUAAGCGGUGGUGGUGGUGGUGUAAAAAGGUGUUUAUCGGACGGAGUGGAAGUGGUGGUGGUGGCGGUGAUACGAUUAUCAGGGAUGAGAGAGAGAGAGAGAGAGAGAGAGAGAGAGAGAGAGAGUGUGUGUGUGUGUGUGUGUGUGUGUACUCCUAUAAUCAGCAAAUUGCAGUCACUCGUUCGCUGUUUCACCUCCCUGUUUCAGGCCUUCUCUCCCCUUCCCUUCCUCCUCGCUCCCUUCCUAGCCUGCCCGCCACCCUCUCCCCGCUUUUCCCUGCCUGUCCUCCCCUGCUCCUCGUGUCCCAGGUGACCCAUGAACUACCUCUAACAAUGGUGAUGAAGAACCAGAAGUGGGUUGUAGGUGACGAGAUAACUAUCCCAGGUCAUCCCGGAAGUGGCGAGGUGACCCCAUACAGCUCCACAAGGUCGUGGAGGACGCCAGAUAUAGCCACGUGGUCGCCUACACUCAGCCAUCCACCUCACCUGCCCCAGACUGCUACCCGGACACCAUCCAGCCACAAGAACCCAGAUAAGCACUUCCGGGGUCCUUGGUUGUGGUUAGCUAGCUAGUUUGUUUAGGGGUCACUUGCUGUACAUAGGAACCCUCCUCGGUCUGCUGCUAUUUUUUUUAUUUUUAUUUUUGAGGUGUAACGCUGUCCUCUACGUGAGAGUGAUAGUGUUUAUAUUUAUUUAUUUUUUUUUCCUGAAGACCAGUUCUGAGGUUAUCUUGGAGGUUAACGGAGAAGAGUUCUUCACACCUGUGUUUGUUGUUUUAUUUUAUUUUUUUAUUGGUCACUUUUUGUUUUUUGUUGUGAUU